Molecule: ribosomal RNA, 301 nt
Filed under: uncultured bacterium
Lineage: Bacteria
Description: partial 16S ribosomal RNA
Rfam family: Bacterial small subunit ribosomal RNA
Source: RNAcentral
CAGUCGCCGCGGUAAUGCGUAGGUGGCAAGCGUUAUCCGGAAUUAUUGGGCGUAAAGGGCUCGCAGGCGGUUUCUUAAGUCUGAUGUGAAAGCCCCCGGCUCAACCGGGGAGGGUCAUUGGAAACUGGGAAACUUGAGUGCAGAAGAGGAGAGUGGAAUUCCACGUGUAGCGGUGAAAUGCGUAGAGAUGUGGAGGAACACCAGUGGCGAAGGCGACUCUCUGGUCUGUAACUGACGCUGAGGAGCGAAAGCGUGGGGAGCGAACAGGAUUAGAUACCCCCGUAGUCCCUGUCUCUUAUAC